This 2380-nucleotide long non-coding RNA is filed under the name Homo sapiens (human). RNAcentral's name for it is "HSALNT0302000". The record is from RNAcentral. Lineage: Eukaryota; Metazoa; Chordata; Mammalia; Primates; Hominidae.
AAUUGCGACAGGCUCUCACUUUGUCAUCCAGGUUGGAGUGCAGUGGUGCAAUCAUGAGUCACUGCAGCCUCGACUCCCCCAGGCUGAAGCAAUCCUCCUGCCUCAGCCUCCCAAGUAGCUUGGGACUGCAGUUGUAUGUCACCAUACCCAGCCCCAAUCUUAGUUUUUAGAAACAAUUUUUUUUUUUUUUUGGAGAGACUGUCCUUUAGUCAUAAAAAAUUACAAGACAUUAAAAACUUACAAGUGAUUGGAAACUACUCAAAUGUCCAGAAUAGGAAGCCUGUGGCAUGUUCAUACAAAGGAAUACUAUACAGCAAUAUAAGUAAAUGAACUGCAAUUGUGUACAUGGAAAAUAUAGAUGACUAUAUCUAUAUAUAUACAUAUAAUAUAUAUACACAUAUAUAAUAUACAUAUAUGUAUAUGUAUAUAUAUAAUAUAUAAUAUAUAUACAUAUAUUAUAUGUAUAUGUAUAUAUUAUAUAUAAUAUAUAUACAUAUAUGUAUAUGUAUAUAUAUAAUAUAUAAUAUAUAUACAUAUAUGUAUAUGUAUAUAUAUAAUAUAUAUAAUAUAUAUAUUUUAACAUGUUACUUUAGGUUCCAGGAUACAAGUGCAGAACGUGCAGGUUUGUUACAUAGGUAUAUGUGAGAUAACUAUAUUUGUAACAUAAUGUUGAGCAAAAACUUUAUGCUGAACAAAAAGGCCAGAUGCAAAAGAGUACAUGCCCUUUGAUUCCAUUUAUAUAAAGUUUUGAAACAGGUAAAACUAACCAGUGGUGUUGGAAGUCAGCUUUUUGGGGGUUGGGUAGUGUAGUUACUCAAAGGGGACAGUAGAGGGGCUCCUGGAAUGCUGGGAAUGUUCAGUUUUAAUAUUGGUUUCUUGGAUAUGUUUGAUUGUGAAAAUUUAUCAAGCUCCAUAUACAAUUUGUGCACUUUCAGUGUUGUAAGUUAUACUUUCAUAAAAUAUUGGGGGAAGAAAAGCCAGUAAGUGCAAUGGACUUAUGGGAGAGCCUGGGUCUCUGGCAGACAUCCCAGCAUCCUUCACUCCAGACAUGAUGGCAGCCUGCAUACAAUUCUGUCUCAGACUGAAUGGUGGAUGGUGGAGGAGGAAGAAGCUCUCUGGAGACAGCAUGAGUGAUCUCUAAUUAUACUUUUCUUUUUAGAAAAAGAAUUUUUUUUUCUUCUAAAAGAGUGACUUUAAAUGAUAGUUCAUGAAAUAACCUCCUUGGUGUCAUCUACUCGUGAAAUCCUUUUUUUAACCAACAAAUCCCUGCAUUCUGUGUGACUAAACCUGUACACACAUUUCCAGCCCAGCACCAUACCACCAGAUAGGGUGGGGCAGUGGCACCCAGAAGGCUUGUGAUACCACAGAUCUGGAUUCAAACCUCAGCUCUACUUCUCACCUGUUCUGUGACCUAGGGCAGGGAACUCUCCCUGAUACUCAAUCUCCACCUCACAGGUUGACACUGGGAAUUACAUGAGGCCUCCCCAGGGAUUUGUGCCUAGUAAAAUGCUAAACACAAAAUGGCAGGUGUUUGAGGAGUUGUUCUUUACUUAUAUCACCUCCAAUGAUAAUCCUACAUAGUAGGCAAUAUUUCUAUUUUGCAAAGGAGGAAACCAAGAUUUUUGAAGCAAGAUUAUAACUACUGAGUGACAGGGCAGGAUUUGAACCCUACCAGCCCUGAGCUCAAGUGUCCAACCCUUCUGCUAUACUGCCUCUGCACCUGCAGCUGGCCACACCGAUAUGGUUCCAGGGACCCUGGGGGAUGAAUGGAGUAGAAUCUCUCCUGGAUCCCUGAUUGUUUCAUUUCCCAGCUCCCCUGGCUGUAGGCCCUGAAAGCCCAUUUCUCUUCUCUUCCACCUUCCUCCCUAAAUCACAACCUCUUUCUGCCCUCCCUCUGUCCCCAGAGUCCUAGAUGCCAGGGAUCCAGAGAAUUGAACUGUGCCCUUCCCUGGGCCAGCCCUGAGUUGCCCCUUAGGACAGCAGUGUUCAGCUCUGUGGGUGGGGAGUGACGGCAGGGAGCACUUCUGCCCAGACCAGGCCUCCAAGAUCUGUAAUUGGCUCCUGCAAGACCCAAGAAGAAAGUCUAGGCCAUAGAAACAGCAGCACUGUUGGGUAGGACCAACCACACAAUCUGCAUGACCUGGGAGCAGAGCAUGCAGGCACUACUGAAUUACGACUAUAUCCUAUGAACCAGCAGUCUAACUCACACAGGCCCAGGAGGGGACAUGGCAGGCAUGUGCAUCACAGCAUUGUCUGGGUGUCAUCCCUGGGGAAGCAGAUGGGGAAAGAGCAUUUAUUUAUGCGUGUGAGGGUGUGUUAUUUUAGUCCGUGUAAAGCAGCAAGUGCGCAUGCGCGUCUGUGCUUACUUGGUAUGUGUCUG